GAAAUGCGAUAAGUAAUGUGAAUUGCAGAAUUCAGUGAAUCAUCGAAUCUUUGAACGCAUAUUGCGCCCUCUGGUAUUCCGGGGGGCAUGCCUGUUCGAGCGUCAUUUAAUACCCUCAAGCAUAGCUUGGUAUUGGGCUUUCAUCUUUUAAAAUUGAUGGGCCUAAAAACUAGUGGCGAUUGCCUUCUUAAGGCCUUUCAAGCGUAGUAAAAUUUUCUCGUCUUGAUAAAAAGGUUUAGAUGAGUUAUCUGCCAAAAGAAAACCGUUUUUAAAGGUUGACCUCGGAUCAGGUAGGGAUACCCGCUGAACUUAA
RNAcentral lists this unclassified non-coding RNA (313 nucleotides) under uncultured Ascomycota. Its description in RNAcentral is "sequence contains ITS1". The stretch from base 1 to 105 matches the Rfam family "5.8S ribosomal RNA", at positions 50 to 154 of the family's 154-position model. The record is from RNAcentral. Lineage: Eukaryota; Fungi; Ascomycota.